Molecule: ribosomal RNA, 471 nt
Filed under: uncultured Pseudomonadota bacterium
Lineage: Bacteria; Pseudomonadati; Pseudomonadota
Description: bacterial SSU rRNA
Rfam family: Bacterial small subunit ribosomal RNA
Source: RNAcentral
UAGGGGAAUAUUGGGCAAUGGGCGAAAGCCUGACCCAGCCACGCCGCGUGAGUGAUGAAGGCCUUCGGGUCGUAAAGCUCUGUGGGGAGGGACGAACAAAUCUGGGGCUAAUCACCCGGAUCCUGACGGUACCUCCUUAGCAAGCACCGGCUAACCCUGUGCCAGCAGCCGCGGUAAUACAGGGGGUGCAAACGUUGCUCGGAAUCAUUGGGCGUAAAGCGCACGUAGGCGGUCUGUUAUAGUCGGAUGUGAAAGCCCUUGGCUUAACUGAGGAAGUGCAUCCGAAACUGGCAGGCUAGAGUACUAAAGAGGGUUCGCGGAAUUCCCGGUGUAGAGGUGAAAUUCGUAGAUAUCGGGAGGAACACCGGUGGCGAAGGCGGCGACCUGGGUAGAUACUGACGCUGAGGUGCGAAAGCGUGGGGAGCAACAGGAUUAGAUACCCUGGUAGUCCACGCCGUAAACGAUGAGUGC